GGAAUCUUGCGCAAUGGGCGAAAGCCUGACGCAGCGACGCCGCGUGAGGGAUGAAGGCCUUCGGGCUGUAAACCUCUGUCAGGAGGGAAGAACCCGGGAUCGGUGAACAGCCGCUCCCGCUGACGGUACCUCCAGAGGAAGCCCCGGCUAACUCCGUGCCAGCAGCCGCGGUAAUACGGAGGGGGCGAGCGUUAUUCGGAAUUAUUGGGCGUAAAGGGCGCGUAGGCGGCUCGAUAAGUCAAAGGUGAAAUCCCUCGGCUCAACUGAGGAACUGCCUUUGAAACUGUAGAGCUUGAGUCCGGGAGGGGGUAGCGGAAUUCCCAGUGUAGCGGUGAAAUGCGUAGAUAUUGGGAGGAACACCAGUGGCGAAGGCGGCUACCUGGACCGGAACUGACGCUGAGGCGCGAAAGCGUGGGUAGCAAAC
Molecule: ribosomal RNA, 424 nt
Filed under: uncultured bacterium
Lineage: Bacteria
Description: bacterial SSU rRNA
Rfam family: Bacterial small subunit ribosomal RNA
Source: RNAcentral